GACGAACGCUGGCGGCGUGCUUAACACAUGCAAGUCGAACGGGCCUUGUCCCCUUUUUUUUUGGGGGUGGGGUUAGUGGCGAACGGGUGAGUAACACGUGAGUAACCUGCCCCUCACUUCUGGAUAACCGCUUGAAAGGGUGGCUAAUACGGGGUGUUCUGGCCUGCUCGCAUGGGUGGGUUUGGAAAGAUUCGACCGGUUUUGGUUGUUUUGGUGGGGGAUGGGCUCGCGGCCUAUCAGCUUGUGGGUGGGGUGAGGGCCUGCCAAGGCUUUGACGGGUAGCCGGACUGAGAGGGUGGGCGGUCACACUGGGACUGAGACACGGCCCAGACUCCUACGGGAGGCAGCAGUGGGGAAUAUUGCACAAGGGGCGCAAGCCGGAUGCAGCGACGCCGCGUGAGGGAUGGAGGCCUUCGGGUUGUGAACCUCUUUCGCCAGUGAAGAAGGUCCUGCUCUUUGUGGUGGGGUUGACGGUAGCUGGGUUAAUGAAGCGCCGGCUAACUACGUG
RNAcentral lists this ribosomal RNA (508 nucleotides) under uncultured bacterium. Its description in RNAcentral is "partial 16S ribosomal RNA". It matches the Rfam family "Bacterial small subunit ribosomal RNA", at positions 28 to 507 of the family's 1533-position model. The record is from RNAcentral.